Molecule: ribosomal RNA, 464 nt
Filed under: uncultured bacterium
Lineage: Bacteria
Description: partial 16S ribosomal RNA
Rfam family: Bacterial small subunit ribosomal RNA
Source: RNAcentral
GACGAACGCUGGCGGCGUGCUUAACACAUGCCAGUCGAACGGAAAGGCCCUGCUUGCAGGGUACUCGAGUGGCGAACGGGUGAGUAACACGUGGGUGAUCUGCCCUGCACUUCGGGAUAAGCCUGGGAAACUGGGUCUAAUACCGGAUAGAAGCCAUUUUUAGUGUGAUGGUUGGAAAGUUUUUUCGGUGUAGGAUGAGCUCGCGGCCUAUCAGCUUGUUGGUGGGGUAAUGGCCUACCAAGGCGGCGACGGGUAGCCGGCCUGCGAGGGUGGACGGCCACAUGGGGACUGGGAUGCGGCCACGAAUCAUACGGGGGGAAAAGGGGGGGAAUUUUGCAAAAUGGGGGCAGGCCUGAUGCAGCGGCGCCGGGUGGGGGAUGACGGCCUUCGGGGUGUAAACUCCUUUCGCUAGGGACGAAGCUUUUUGUGACGGUACCUAGAUAAGAAGCACCGGCUAACUACGU